Pezoporus flaviventris is the source of this 364-nucleotide long non-coding RNA. RefSeq lists it as uncharacterized. The transcript is spliced from 2 exons. Lineage: Eukaryota; Metazoa; Chordata; Aves; Psittaciformes; Psittacidae. The record is from RefSeq and is a predicted model, not a curated record.
UCUAGUUUCAACUUCCGUGCCACGGGCAGGGACACCUCGCACUAGACCAUGUUGCCCAAGGGUCUGUUCAGCUUCAGAACACCCUCAAGUCCUCCGAAGGGUUGUUCUGAAUCACUUCUUUUCAGUGUCCUGCUCCAGGCUGGGCUUGUCUGUCCCACGCUGGUGCAGAGCCUCUUGCUGUGGCUGGACUCCAGUUCAGUUAAACUGCAGGUGGCAGCUGCAGCUUUCUUUGAUGAGAUUCCUUGGAGCUAUGGGACUAGGAGGCCCUCUGAUUGAGGCAGGAACUAGAGAAGACCCUCUGCAAUACCUGGCUCCAGCCAACACCCAGGAGUUCAUUAAAGCUCAUCACUUUAAUGACACCUAA